Molecule: Y RNA, 104 nt
Filed under: Colobus angolensis palliatus
Lineage: Eukaryota; Metazoa; Chordata; Mammalia; Primates; Cercopithecidae
Description: Y RNA (ENSCANG00000002487.1)
Rfam family: Y RNA
About the family: Y RNAs are components of the Ro ribonucleoprotein particle (Ro RNP), in association with Ro60 and La proteins. The Y RNAs and Ro60 and La proteins are well conserved, but the function of the Ro RNP is not known. In humans the RNA component can be one of four small RNAs -- hY1, hY3, hY4 and hY5.
Source: Rfam by way of RNAcentral
GGCUGGUCUGAGUACAGUGGUGUUGUUUACAACUAAUUGAUCACAGCAGUUACAGAUUUCUUGGUUCCUUCUCCACUCCCACUGCUUCACUUGACUAGCCUUAA